UACGAGGGGGGCGAGCGUUGUUCGGAAUUAUUGGGCGUAAAGGGUGCGUAGGCGGUUUGGUAAGUCUUAUGUGAAAUCUACAGGCUCAACUUGUAGUCUGCAUGAGAAACUGCCGGGCUUGAGUAUGGGAGAGGUGAGUGGAAUUCCUGGUGUAGCGGUGAAAUGCGUAGAUAUCAGGAAGAACACCCGUGGCUAAGGCGGCUCUCUAGUACGGUACUGACGCUGAGACGCGAAAGCGUGGGGAGCGAACAGG
This 253-nucleotide ribosomal RNA is filed under the name uncultured bacterium. RNAcentral's name for it is "partial 16S ribosomal RNA". It matches the Rfam family "Bacterial small subunit ribosomal RNA", at positions 524 to 776 of the family's 1533-position model. The record is from RNAcentral.